AUGGGUUUGCCUCAGGUUCCUGCAAUUAAGGAGGAGGAGCCUCCUAAGCUGAGUACAUGUGUAGUUAGUCCUUGUUUUGGUAGUAGUGAUAAUAGUGAUUUGGGCAGGCUUCCCACCGGAGGCUCAAAUAACAGGGCAUUUCAAUACCCAUCCAUCAGCGAUCUGAAGAGAAAAGCUGCGUUAGAUUCUCUGAAUGGUUUUGAUGGAAAUUUUGGAGCCAGCCAUGCUGUCGAUGGGCCUGCAGGCUCCCAAGGCCUAAAACCUGAUUUGAGGAAUCCAACUUCUAGAUCAUGCCCUAAGUUGCGACCUUCUGUUCAGAUGCCUGCGAGGAGAGUUAUUGGGUUUGAAUCAGGUUUUGCUGGUUUCAAGGGAGAUUCUGAUACAAUGGUAGCUGACAAAAUGCAUUCAUCUUUAGUCAUCAACACUUGCCAUUCAUCUAUUGAACAGCAUGGGCCUCAAGCAAGGAAAAGGGUGUUAUCGCCUUUAACUAAUGUGCUCCAUGGACACUUCAGCGGCGAUGCGCUAAAUAUUGGUUCUGCUGAUGCCCAAAUGCAGCAUUCUGACCAAGUUAGGCAAUUUUGCAGCUCUGGAUUUCAAGAUUGUAAAAAAGCCCACACUGCGUCUCUUGACUCGUUUGAGUCACCUACUUGGCCAGCCUUCAGACACUCCAGUUGGAGCAAAACACAGGUAGUUGAUAAGUUUAGCAGUAAUAUAUUCACCGAUGGUCCUUUGGUUGAGGGCAGGGAGUCAUAUUCUUGUUCAGUUCACCUAGAGGCCGAAAGGAUUGUGAAUCUCAAAAGGGUUGCAGUAGCUGUCCCACUACCAAAAUUAGCUCAUUCCCCUCCGCUCAGCUUGUCCCCUCUCGGCCCAAAAUGGAUGCAGAGAGGGAAGAAUGUGGGGGCUCAGAGAGAUUUAGCCAGAGAAAUCGAAAAUGAUUUUCUAGACUUGAAGGAAACGGAAAUAUCGAUAGGUGAAAAUGUUUCUGAACAUGGCGAUAGAAUCAGGGCAAGGGAUGCAACAGGAAAAACUACUAUCUUGCAUGUUAACUUUGAUACGAUGAUCCCUAAGAGGUGUUCAGAUAGAAGACUCCAAAAUUGGGUCCCAGAAUCUGCCCCUGUAUCCCCACGCAUUGGAUGUCUCCGGGGUUUAAGCCUCUUUCCUGUAAGAAGGUCACUAGUUGGCUCCUUCGAGGAGUCCCUUUUAUCUGGUCGCUAUUCGUGUGGAAAAGAUAAGCAGAAUAUUGAUGGUUUUCUGUCUGUCCUGAAUGUGACUGGCGGCAACUUCUCUCCCCCAACUCAGAAGCUUCCAUUUGCAGUAACCAGCAUUGAUGAGGAUAGCUCCCUGCUGUACUACUCGUCGAUUGAUCUUGCUGGGAGGUUGCCUACUAACAACAGCAAAAGCCCAAAACUUAAAAGAAGCUCCAACAAUAAUGAUUCAAGAUCAUCGAGAAGUCGCUUACACAUCCCAAUUAAAGGGCGCAUUCAGCUGGUCGUCAGUAACCCAGAGAAGACACCGCUGCACACCUUCUUUUGCAACUAUGAUUUGAGUGGCAUGCCUGCUGGAACCAAGACUUUCGUGCGGCAAAAGGUCACUCUAUCAUCUGUUCCCCCUUCUAAUCCAGUGAAGGAAGGAAGCGAUGCCAGUCACACAAAGGUCGAGUCAGUCCAAUAUGGAAGUGAACUUAGAGAAUGCGGCACUCUGUUUUCUGAAUGCUGUGAACAGGGGCAGAACUGCUACUCGACUGAUGAAUCAGAGAAGGGAGGUCACACAAACAGAACAUGUUGCUCAAUGGAAUGUGACAUUAGUGAAUCAAAUGAAUUGAGUCCCAUUGGGAGCUCAGGAAGUCGCACUAAUGCUAAUGGUUGCUGCUGUCAAAUAGACAGUGAAAAGAAAUCUUGCUGCAAACCUUCCAAAGUGAAUGAUAGUUCAGCUGGAGGCGUUCUUCGUUAUGCUUUGCACCUGCGUUUUCUGAGCCCCUUUUCCAAGAAAUCAUCAAGAUCGAUGCAGCGGACCAAACCUGGCAUGUCAUCAGAACCACUCAAUCGGAGUACCGCUACAGAGGAAGAGAGGCGAUUUUAUCUCUACAAUGAUAUUAGAGUUGUCUUUCCUCAAAGGCACUCAGAUUCAGACGAAGGCGAGCUGCGGGUUGAGCACGACUUCCCUGCUGAUCCCAAGUACUUCGACAUAAGCAACUGA
RNAcentral lists this ribosomal RNA (2196 nucleotides) under Triticum aestivum (bread wheat). RNAcentral describes it as "partial small subunit ribosomal RNA". Lineage: Eukaryota; Viridiplantae; Streptophyta; Magnoliopsida; Poales; Poaceae. The record is from RNAcentral.